UGCCAAGUAUGCAGCACGUUGA
Molecule: microRNA, 22 nt
Filed under: Drosophila mojavensis
Lineage: Eukaryota; Metazoa; Arthropoda; Insecta; Diptera; Drosophilidae
Also listed under: 1 other name
Description: Dmo-Mir-9707_5p (mature (guide))
Source: RNAcentral